UACGUAGGUGGCAAGCGUUGUCCGGAAUUAUUGGGCGUAAAGCGCGCGCAGGCGGUCCUUUAAGUCUGAUGUGAAAGCCCACGGCUUAACCGUGGAGGGUCAUUGGAAACUGGGGGACUUGAGUGCAGAAGAGGAAAGCGGAAUUCCACGUGUAGCGGUGAAAUGCGUAGAGAUGUGGAGGAACACCAGUGGCGAAGGCGGCUUUCUGGUCUGUAACUGACGCUGAGGCGCGAAAGCGUGGGUAGCAAACGGG
RNAcentral lists this ribosomal RNA (253 nucleotides) under uncultured bacterium. RNAcentral's name for it is "partial 16S ribosomal RNA". It matches the Rfam family "Bacterial small subunit ribosomal RNA", at positions 524 to 776 of the family's 1533-position model. The record is from RNAcentral.